Molecule: small nuclear RNA, 107 nt
Organism: Trichechus manatus latirostris (Florida manatee)
Lineage: Eukaryota; Metazoa; Chordata; Mammalia; Sirenia; Trichechidae
Source: RefSeq, a predicted model, not a curated record
GUGCUCGCUUCAACAGCACAUAUACUAAAAUUGGAACAAUACAGAGAAGAUUAACAUAGCUCCUGCACAAGAAUGAAAUACAAAAAAAUGAAUCAGUACCUACUAUG